RNAcentral lists this ribosomal RNA (210 nucleotides) under Alexandrium margalefii. Its description in RNAcentral is "partial Eukaryotic large subunit ribosomal RNA". It matches the Rfam family "Eukaryotic large subunit ribosomal RNA", at positions 2247 to 2456 of the family's 3401-position model. Lineage: Eukaryota; Dinophyceae; Gonyaulacales; Pyrocystaceae. The record is from RNAcentral.
UAAACAGCAGGAGUAACUAUGACUCUUUUAAGGUAGCCAAAUGCCUCGUCAUAUAACUAAUGACGUGCAUGAAUUGGUUUUCGAGGUUCCUACUGUCCCUAUCUACCAUCUAGCGAAACCGCAGCCAAGGGAACGGACUUGGCCUAGUCAGCGGGGAAAGAAGACCCUGUUGAGCUUUACUCUAAUCCGACUGUGUGAAAAGACAUGGAA